This 19-nucleotide small RNA is filed under the name Arabidopsis thaliana (thale cress). RNAcentral describes it as "Ath_wt_07473". Lineage: Eukaryota; Viridiplantae; Streptophyta; Magnoliopsida; Brassicales; Brassicaceae. The record is from RNAcentral.
GCGGGUCGCCGCGUGCCGG